GUGCUUGCUUUGGCAGCACACAUACUAAAAUUGGAACUAUACAGAGAAGAUUAGCAUGGCCCCUGCACAAGGAUGACACGCAAAUUCGUGAAGCGUUCUAUAUUUUU
This 107-nucleotide small nuclear RNA is filed under the name Dasypus novemcinctus (nine-banded armadillo). The record is from RNAcentral. Lineage: Eukaryota; Metazoa; Chordata; Mammalia; Cingulata; Dasypodidae.